UGUGGCUCAUUCUCACCAACCAUUUUCUUUUCAGCUGCCCCCAAUUUUCACUUGAUUGCUCUGCUCUUGGUUUGAUACCUUUAUUCAUGACAUCUAGGAAACAACAAUGCAGCAAUGGUAACAAUGAGGAUGAGAAUUUUCAAAGCCACACCACCCAAGGUAGACUGGGAAACUGAAGGCUCUCCUAUAACCAGUUGAAACUGCAAGAAAAAUUGAAGAAGGCCCCCUUGCAAUCACUCUAAGUGGAAUUUGAUUUCUAUCUUGGGAUAAACGUUUCAACUGGAAGGUAAGUGCUAGGAGAUAAGAAAGAUAAGGAAGCCAUAUGGCUCAGUUUUUUUUUUUUAAUGAAGGAUUA
Molecule: long non-coding RNA, 355 nt
Filed under: Monodelphis domestica (gray short-tailed opossum)
Lineage: Eukaryota; Metazoa; Chordata; Mammalia; Didelphimorphia; Didelphidae
Description: lncRNA (ENSMODG00000035851.2)
Source: RNAcentral